AGAACAGGAUAUCCCCCUUUCAAAGGUAUGUCAACUUGUCAUCUAGUCAGUUUUAUUUCGCAAUCCCAUGAAAUGGGUUAAUUAUUGCGGUUAUCUGGUCGUCAUGGUUAUUGAUGUCACAGACGGUCUGUUCGGGGUAAAAUCAUCUUCAAUGACGUCACAGGUGAACCCUUUUAAUCAAACCUUUCAAUGAUAUGAACUUAACAGAAGUGACACAGAUUGCCAAUAUAACUCAACAGUGAUGUGAAUGUAUAUUUUGAAGAACUAAAUAUGAGAAUGUUAGGUUAUUUAUUUCUCGUAUUUGUAUUCCACAGGAAUCUCAGAGAACACUCGAAGCACCAAUUACUACAAGGCAAUUAUAAACAAGAACUGAUUGAUGGUUACAAAAACUUAGAAUUUAACGGAUCUCAUGGAAGCACUAUUUCAAAAAUGUCAUAACAAUAAAUAAAUAAACAUCGAAGUUGUAUAUUU
Molecule: long non-coding RNA, 471 nt
Filed under: Leptinotarsa decemlineata (Colorado potato beetle)
Lineage: Eukaryota; Metazoa; Arthropoda; Insecta; Coleoptera; Chrysomelidae
Description: uncharacterized LOC111504800
Source: RNAcentral